AGAAAUCUGACAAUGUUUGCCUAAACAACAAACUUCACAGAGGCUUGAUGAUUUUAUUGAAUUACUAGGCAAACAAAACUUAUUAACAAUAAAGGAGACAGUUGAUUGUUGAGGAUGAUCAAGCCGAGCAUGCCAAUCAGGUGCAGCAGUCCGAACGAAUUUAAAAACCUUGGUCUGGCCUGUAAGGUCAUUGGAUGCAACAAUAAGAAGCCUAUAAACACCGUCAAAAGCUGGUCCCUUCAACAAAACCUGUUUAUUUGUCUAAUUCUUCACACUAAACCCAUCAGAGUCAAAUUUAAGGAAGUAGUGAUUGUCUUUGGCAAAUUUAUUAACAGACAAUAAUUGUUGUUGUAGGGCAGGCACAUGUAAAACAUUUUUCAAAUGAAACUGACUAUUACUAGAAGAUAGGGUAGUGUGACUAAUGUUUUUAAUAUGCAAACCAUGUCCAUUACCUAUAGUGACCACCCUUUGUACUCCUCUGAGAUUUCAAGUGCAGACAAAUCAGGAGUCAUGUGAUGAGAAGCAGCAGUGUCAAGAAACCAAUCAUUGGAAGAAACAUUUACUUUUGUGGCAUUGGCUGUGAUAUUAUCACGAUUAUAACGCUUGCGACACCACUUAGCUUGAUGAUUGUUGAGUCCACAGAUCUGACAAGGAGUAGGAAACCACUUUUUGUUUCCAGUUGAGGACGCACCAUUAUUUUUGUAACCAUUGUUUGCCUGGAGGCUCUGAUUAGAUGAAGUGUGUUGUCGAGCAACAUUGGCAACAACAGAGAUUGGUUUGCCAGAGUUCUGCAAGAGGAUCGGAAAAUGAUACCUGUGACAGGAUGAUAAUCAGAGGGAAGUAAGCGAAAAAUAGUGGCAUUGAAUUCAUCAGAAGAUACAGGUGUGCCAGCUGCAGCAAGCUCGUCAGCAAUAGCUUUAGCUUCGCGAAGAAAUUGAGCCAGUGGUUUGUCACCAAGAGUCAUGUUUUGCAAGGUGAUGUGUAAUUGGACUCUUCUAGCACUGUUGCUUAUGCCAAAUGUAUUUGAAAAAGCCAUCCAAGCUUCAAAGGCAGUAUCUAAACCAGUCACAUAAGGAAAAAUUUCCACAGUUAAAGAUGAUAAGAUCCAACUUAGUAAGAGUUGGUCUUCUUGUAACCACUCUAGAUAAUCAGAAUUUGGUCCUAAUUGAUUUGUUGUGGCAUUAAUUAUGGUGGAAGGAGGUGUCGGUGUACCAUUGAUAUGAUUGAAUAGAUUAUAACAUUUGAUGAUAGGAACAAAUUGAGUUUUCCAAGUCAGGUAGUUUAUUGGUUUAAGUCUUAUGGAAAAAGAAAGUUGAGCAUGAGGUAAAGUAGCAAAAAGACUUGGAGUGGUUUAUGUCGUUGAUGCUGUAGAGGUGGAAUUUGAAUGUUGAGAAGAAGUUGAUUCCAUGGUAGGCUCUGGUACCAUGUUAUAAGAUGAGAUAAUUGAGAGAAUUCUGUGUGUUUUCUAUUGAAUAGGAUAACUGAAUAUAUACACGGUUGUUUAUAACAAACUGCAAAAGAAUAGGGAGAUAUAGCUAACGUAUAACACUAACCCAUGUAUCCUAAAAUAUAGCUAAUUGAACUUAUCUAUCCUACUUUAUCUCUAACAGGGAAUAACAUUACUUGUCUGUUCCCGAUUGUUUUGGUCAAAGAGGCAUUCACUACGUUUAUAACAGUGGGACUACCUUCAAUAAGAUGAAACUUUUAUGAAAAGCAAGAAAACUUCAAAUAUUUGACUUUGGAGGGGGUUUGCUGGAGGAGAUUUUUUUGUCUCGUCCUUUAAAUAAAAUGGUUAACAGAUAUACAAGCAUUACCAAAAGUAAAAAAUCUAGCUAAACAUUAACAUACACUGAACAUUUUAAUGUAAUAGGUCAAAUGAUUAUGUCUUAUGUAAGUCUAACAUGAGCGACGAUGAGGUAAAGUGCUGAUAUUAUUACCUUUUCCAAUGCCUUUUGCACCCCAAAUUUCUGAGUUGAUAUAAAUGAAUUCAGAUAAACGCGAAUUGCCAGUGUUUUUCAACCAAUUUAUGGAAUUCGACAAAAGUAGAGAGAACCUCAUUUUUUUGUUUAAUUGGAAAUAACCAACAAUAACGAGAAAAGUCAUCCACAAAUAGAACAAAAUACUCUCCAUAAAAGGAUAAGUUGGGAGCUGGACCCCAUACAUCUCCAUGAAUCAAUUCCAAUUGUUUACUAGCAAUAGAACCAGUGAUAGGUAAAGAAAUCUGACAAUGUUUGCCUAAACAACAAACUUCACAGAGGCUUGAUGAUUUUAUUGAAUUACUAGGCAAACAAAACUUAUUAACAAUAAAGGAGACAGUUGAUUGUUGAGGAUGAUCAAGCCGAGCAUGCCAAUCAGGUGCAGCAGUCCGAACGAAUUUAAAAACCUUGGUCUGGCCUGUAAGGUCAUUGGAUGCAACAAUAAGAAGCCUAUAAACACCGUCAAAAGCUGGUCCCUUCAACAAAACCUGUUUAUUUGUCUAAUUCUUCACACUAAACCCAUCAGAGUCAAAUUUAAGGAAGUAGUGAUUGUCUUUGGCAAAUUUAUUAACAGACAAUAAUUGUUGUUGUAGGGCAGGCACAUGUAAAACAUUUUUCAAAUGAAACUGACUAUUACUAGAAGAUAGGGUAGUGUGACUAAUGUUUUUAAUAUGCAAACCAUGUCCAUUACCUA
RNAcentral lists this long non-coding RNA (2670 nucleotides) under Capsicum annuum. RNAcentral describes it as "long non-coding RNA (CANN_LNC006950)". The record is from RNAcentral. Lineage: Eukaryota; Viridiplantae; Streptophyta; Magnoliopsida; Solanales; Solanaceae.